Onychomys torridus (southern grasshopper mouse) is the source of this 107-nucleotide small nuclear RNA. NCBI's taxonomy places the organism in Eukaryota, Metazoa, Chordata, Mammalia, Rodentia, Cricetidae. The record is from RefSeq and is a predicted model, not a curated record.
GUUCUCACUUCAGCAGCACAUAGACUAAAAUUGGAAUGAUACAGAGAAGAUUAGCAUGGCCACUACACAAGGAUGACAUGCAACUUUGUGAAACGUUCCAUAUUUUU